AAGCUCGUAGUUGAAUUUCGGGGUUCUACCGUUGGUCGGGCAAUAGUCUGUACUGGCGUGUAGAAUUUCUACCUUCUGGGGAACUAUCAUGUUAUUUAUUUAGCGUGGUAGGAAACCAGGACCUUUACCUUGAAAAAAUUAGAGUGUUCAAAGCAGGCUUACGUCUGAAUACAUUAGCAUGGAAUAAUAAAAUAGGACGGUGGUCCUGUUUUGUUGGUUUCUGAAUCACCGUAAUGAUUAAUAGGGAUAGUUGGG
This 255-nucleotide ribosomal RNA is filed under the name uncultured Gigaspora. RNAcentral's name for it is "partial 18S ribosomal RNA". It matches the Rfam family "Eukaryotic small subunit ribosomal RNA", at positions 624 to 886 of the family's 1831-position model. The record is from RNAcentral. Lineage: Eukaryota; Fungi; Glomeromycota; Glomeromycetes; Diversisporales; Gigasporaceae.